AACGCUGAGAGUUUGAUCCUGGCUCAGGACGAACGCUGGCGGUGCGCUUAAUGCAUGCAAGUCGAACGGUGAAAUCCCGGCUUGCCGGGAUGGAUCAGUGGCGGACGGCUGAGUAACGCGUAAGCAACCUACCCUUGAGUGGGGAACAACUCCGGGAAACCGGAGCUAAUACCGCAUGAGAUCGCCGAUCGCAUGGUCGGUUCUGAAAGCUGCGGCUUGCCGUGGCGCUCGAGGAUGGGCUUGCGUCCUAUCAGGUUGUUGGUGGGGUAACGGCCUACCAAGCCUAUGACGGGUAGCUGGUCUGAGAGGACGAUCAGCCAGAGGGGGACUGAGACACGGCCCCCACUCCUACGGGAGGCAGCAGCAGGGAAUCUUGCGCAAUGGGCGAAAGCCUGACGCAGCGACACCGCGUGGAGGAAGAAGGCCUUCGGGUCGUAAACUCCUUUUCUGGGGGAAGAGAGAGGACGGUACCCUAGGAAUAAGCCUCGGCUAACUACGUGCCAGCAGCCGCGGUAAUACGUAGGAGGCGAGCGUUGUCCGGAUUUACUGGGCGUAAAGGGGGUGUAGGCGGUUC
RNAcentral lists this ribosomal RNA (574 nucleotides) under Chloroflexota bacterium. Its description in RNAcentral is "bacterial SSU rRNA". It matches the Rfam family "Bacterial small subunit ribosomal RNA", at positions 1 to 581 of the family's 1533-position model. Lineage: Bacteria; Bacillati; Chloroflexota. The record is from RNAcentral.